UACGUAGGGUGCGAGCGUUAAUCGGAAUUACUGGGCGUAAAGCGUGCGCAGGCGGUCUCGUAAGACAGGUGUGAAAUCCCCGGGCUCAACCUGGGAACUGCGCUUGUGACUGCGAGGCUGGAGUGUGGCAGAGGGAGGUGGAAUUCCACGUGUAGCAGUGAAAUGCGUAGAGAUGUGGAGGAACACCGAUGGCGAAGGCAGCCUCCUGGGCCAGCACUGACGCUCAUGCACGAAAGCGUGGGGAGCAAACAGG
Molecule: ribosomal RNA, 253 nt
Filed under: uncultured bacterium
Lineage: Bacteria
Also listed under: 1 other name
Description: partial 16S ribosomal RNA
Rfam family: Bacterial small subunit ribosomal RNA
Source: RNAcentral